Molecule: long non-coding RNA, 672 nt
Organism: Engraulis encrasicolus (European anchovy)
Lineage: Eukaryota; Metazoa; Chordata; Actinopteri; Clupeiformes; Engraulidae
Exons: 2
Source: RefSeq, a predicted model, not a curated record
AGUAUAAAAAAAAAUUGGUCAUUGAUAAACAAUGUUUUGGACAUAAUAAUUGUAGUAUUCAUAUUAUAAUAUACAGCGCCAUAAUUCUUAUAUCCGCAUUUUUGUAUGACUACUUGCGCAUCUGCUGAGAAACGAAAUCCAAAUUUGCCCGUUUAGAAUCUUUGGCAAACCUCGGCGGAUGACGUACGCACAGGGAGUCCAGUUCGCACAGACUCGCAGUCAGACUGGUCUCUCGCAGGCGAGAGGAAUGAUUUUUUUUGAACAGGCGGCGGCGGACCAACACAUAUCUCCAAAGGAAAUCCUCCCUGGAUCCCUGUGAGACCCUCCUUGCAAGUCUGUUCUGCAUGGAGUCCUCCAUCAUCAGCCGGGGUUGCCAUUUGAUCACCUUGCAUGGCUGGAGCCUGUACCAUGUUUGCACUUUGUUUACAAGCUCUUUUCUCUUUCUUUAAAAGUGUACCUCAGAAAAAUACAGUGUAGUUAAGUAUUUUGACAAAUUGUAAUAAAAGGAAUGUAUGCACUUUUUAAAAGUGUAUUUUAUUUUAUUUCAAAUACAGUGCAAUUCAGUUAAAAAACAAAACAAAAUACAAUUCAGUAUACUUUGUCAAAUGCCACCAGUUUGAAGUUAUGUAUGUAAGGUUUUUUAAAAUAUAAAUAUUAAUGUUCAUUUUAACA